Molecule: ribosomal RNA, 459 nt
Filed under: uncultured bacterium
Lineage: Bacteria
Description: partial 16S ribosomal RNA
Rfam family: Bacterial small subunit ribosomal RNA
Source: RNAcentral
CCUACGGGUGGCAGCAGUGAGGAAUAUUGGUCAAUGGGCGGGAGCCUGAACCAGCCAAGUCGCGUGAGGGACGACGGUCCUAUGGAUUGUAAACCUCUUUUGUCGGGGAACAAAGGCGCCCACGGGUGGGCGGAUGAGUGUACCCGAAGAAAAAGCAUCGGCUAACUCCGUGCCAGCAGCCGCGGUAAUACGGAGGAUGCGAGCGUUAUCCGGAUUUAUUGGGUUUAAAGGGUGCGUAGGCGGGCUUUUAAGUCAGCGGUAAAAAUUCGGGGCUCAACCCCGUCCGGCCGUUGAAACUGGGGGCCUUGAGUGGGCGAGAAGAAGGCGGAAUGCGUGGUGUAGCGGUGAAAUGCAUAGAUAUCACGCAGAACCCCGAUUGCGAAGGCAGCCUUCCGGCGCCCUACUGACGCUGAGGCACGAAAGUGCGGGGAUCGAACAGGAUUAGAUACCCUAGUAGUC